UGGGGAAUAUUGCACAAUGGGGGAAACCCUGAUGCAGCGACGCCGCGUGAACGAAGAAGGUAUUCGUAUCGUAAAGUUCUGACCUAUGGGAAGAUAAUGACAGUACCAUAGAAGAAAGCUCCGGCUAAAUACGUGCCAGCAGCCGCGGUAAUACGUAUGGAGCGAGCGUUGUCCGGAAUUACUGGGCGUAAAGGGUACGCAGGCGGUUUAAUAAGUCGAAUGUUAAAGAUCGGGGCUCAACCCCGUAAAGCAUUGGAAACUGAUAAGCUUGAGUAGUGGAGAGGAAAGUGGAAUUCCUAGUGUAGUGGUGAAAUACGUAGAUAUUAGGAGGAAUACCAGUAGCGAAGGCGACUUUCUGGACACAAACUGACGCUGAGGUACGAAAGCGUGGGGAGCAAACAGG
This 403-nucleotide ribosomal RNA is filed under the name bacterium. RNAcentral describes it as "partial 16S ribosomal RNA". It matches the Rfam family "Bacterial small subunit ribosomal RNA", at positions 355 to 776 of the family's 1533-position model. The record is from RNAcentral.